UACGUAGGGUGCAAGCGUUGUCCGGAAUUAUUGGGCGUAAAGAGCUCGUAGGCGGUCUGUCGCGUCUGCUGUGAAAACUCGGGGCUUAACCCCGGGCCUGCAGUGGGUACGGGCAGACUAGAGUGCGGUAGGGGAGACUGGAAUUCCUGGUGUAGCGGUGAAAUGCGCAGAUAUCAGGAGGAACACCGGUGGCGAAGGCGGGUCUCUGGGGCC
This 213-nucleotide ribosomal RNA is filed under the name uncultured bacterium. RNAcentral describes it as "partial 16S ribosomal RNA". It matches the Rfam family "Bacterial small subunit ribosomal RNA", at positions 524 to 735 of the family's 1533-position model. The record is from RNAcentral.